UGCCUUAAGGAUAGUGUAAUAUUUGCAAGUCUCAAGUAUUGAGUCUUGAGAAGAAAAAUUUCCAGGGAAUUGGUUAAUCUCCCCUUGUGGAGCUGUUAAGUGCAACUCAUCCAAUCAAGCAAAGGAUAAAUCAAUUGAGGUAUAUCAUGACGGUUCUCAGCGUAAUUGUAAAUCCCUGGUAUACCAAUUUUGUAUACACGCUGAUACUUCUGCAGCUGAAACUUCCUUUCUUCUGGUACUUGUUCAGCAGAAAAUUCCCCAAAAAUAGGAUGGGAUGGCU
This 280-nucleotide unclassified non-coding RNA is filed under the name Hevea brasiliensis (rubber tree). Lineage: Eukaryota; Viridiplantae; Streptophyta; Magnoliopsida; Malpighiales; Euphorbiaceae. The record is from RNAcentral.